AGUGAACGCUGGCGGCGUGCCUAAUACAUGCAAGUCGAACGGAGAUUAAGUAGCUUGCUAUUUAAUCUUAGUGGCGCACGGGUGAGUAAUAUAUAGCUAACUUGCCCAUUACUAAGGGACAACAGUUGGAAACGACUGCUAAUACCUUAUACUCCGUAUCUAUAUAAGUAGAUACGGGAAAGUUUUUCGGUAAUGGAUAGGGCUAUAUCGUAUCAGCUAGUUGGUAAGGUAAUGGCUUACCAAGGCUAUGACGCGUAACUGGUCUGAGAGGAUGAUCAGUCACACUGGAACUGAGACACGGUCCAGACUCCUACGGGAGGCAGCAGGAGGGAAUAUUGCUCAAUGGGGGAAACCCUGAAGCAGCAACGCCGCGUGGAGGAUGACACUUUUCGGAGCGUAAACUCCUUUUCUUGGGAAAGAAUUAUGACGGUACCCAAGGAAUAAGCACCGGCUAACUCCGUG
RNAcentral lists this ribosomal RNA (462 nucleotides) under uncultured bacterium. RNAcentral describes it as "partial 16S ribosomal RNA". It matches the Rfam family "Bacterial small subunit ribosomal RNA", at positions 29 to 507 of the family's 1533-position model. The record is from RNAcentral.